GACGAACGCUGGCGGCGUGCUUAACACAUGCAAGUCGAACGGAAAGGCCCUGCUUUUGUGGGGUGCUCGAGUGGCGAACGGGUGAGUAACACGUGAGUAACCUGCCCUUGACUUUGGGAUAACUUCAGGAAACUGGGGCUAAUACCGGAUAGGAGCUCCUGCUGCAUGGUGGGGGUUGGAAAGUUUCGGCGGUUGGGGAUGGACUCGCGGCUUAUCAGCUUGUUGGUGGGGUAGUGGCUUACCAAGGCUUUGACGGGUAGCCGGCCUGAGAGGGUGACCGGCCACAUUGGGACUGAGAUACGGCCCAGACUCCUACGGGAGGCAGCAGUGGGGAAUAUUGCACAAUGGGCGGAAGCCUGAUGCAGCAACGCCGCGUGCGGGAUGACGGCCUUAGGGUUGUAAACCGCUUUCGCCUGUGACGAAGCGUGAGUGACGGUAAUGGGUAAAGAAGCACCGGCUAACUACGUGCCAGCAGCCGCGGUGAUACGUAGGGUGCGAGCGUUGUCCGGAUUUAUUGGGCGUAAAGGGCUCGUAGGUGGUUGAUCGCGUCGGAAGUGUAAUCUUGGGGCUUAACCCUGGGCGUGCUUUCGAUACGGGUUGACUUGAGGAAGGUAGGGGAGAAUGGAAUUCCUGGUGGAGCGGUGGAAUGCGCAGAUAUCAGGAGGAACACCAGUGGCGAAGGCGGUUCUCUGGGCCUUUCCUGACGCUGAGGAGCGAAAGCGUGGGGAGCGAACAGGCUUAGAUACCCUGGUAGUCCACGCUGUAAACGGUGGGUACUAGGUGUGGGGUCCAUUCCACGGGUUCCGUGCCGUAGCUAACGCUUUAAGUACCCCGCCUGGGGAGUACGGCCGCAAGGCUAAAACUCAAAGGAAUUGACGGGGCCCCGCACAAGCGGCGGAGCAUGCGGAUUAAUUCGAUGCAACGCGUAGAACCUUACUGGGUUUGACAUGGAUCGGGAGCGCUCAGAGAUGGGUGUGCCUCUUUUGGGGUCGGUUCACAGGUGGUGCAUGGCUGUCGUCAGCUCGUGUCGUGAGAUGUUGGGUUAAGUCCCGCAACGAGCGCAACCCUUGUUCACUGUUGCCAGCACGUUAUGGUGGGGACUCAGUGGAGACCGCCGGGGUCAACUCGGAGGAAGGUGGGGAUGACGUCAAGUCAUCAUGCCCCUUAUGUCCAGGGCUUCACGCAUGCUACAAUGGCUGGUACAGAGAGUGGCGAGCCUGUGAGGGUGAGCGAAUCUCGGAAAGCCGGUCUCAGUUCGGAUUGGGGUCUGCAACUCGACCUCAUGAAGUCGGAGUCGCUAGUAAUCGCAGAUCAGCAACGCUGCGGUGAAUACGUUCCCGGGGCUUGUACACACCGCCCGUCAAGUCAUGAAAGUUGGUAACACCCGAAGCCGGUGGCCUAACCGUUGUGGGGGAGCCGUCGAAGGUGGGACUGGUGAUUAGGACUAAGUCGUAACAAGGUAGCCGUACCGGAAGG
This 1476-nucleotide ribosomal RNA is filed under the name uncultured sheep mite bacterium Llangefni 57. Its description in RNAcentral is "bacterial SSU rRNA". It matches the Rfam family "Bacterial small subunit ribosomal RNA". The record is from RNAcentral. Lineage: Bacteria; Bacillati; Actinomycetota; Actinomycetes; Actinomycetales.